This 87-nucleotide transfer RNA is filed under the name Neomoorella glycerini. Its description in RNAcentral is "Moorella glycerini tRNA-Leu". It matches the Rfam family "tRNA". Rfam says of the family: Transfer RNA (tRNA) molecules are approximately 80 nucleotides in length. RNAcentral also lists the same sequence under 8 other names. The record is from RNAcentral. Lineage: Bacteria; Bacillati; Bacillota; Clostridia; Neomoorellales; Neomoorellaceae.
GCCGAAGUGGUGGAACUGGCAGACGCGCCGGACUCAAAAUCCGGUGGCCGCGAGGCCGUGCGGGUUCGACCCCCGCCUUCGGCACCA